GCGGAGGUUGCCUUCUUGGGUCAGUGAUGAGUGUUGGCAUGUAUUACCUGAUGUAAAGCUGAUGUCUGUCACCACUUUAGCUCUAGAAUUAUUCUGAGACCCAGGCAACUCCAGUUUCUUUCCACUGUAUUUCUGAGCAUUUCCCCCAGUAUUUCUGAGGGUCCGCGGCUCUGCAGCUCUCCAGGGCAGUUCCCAACUACACGGCUGUCUGCAGGUUACGCUGGUUGAGGUUUUUUGGAUGUAUAUCUGACUGCACAGCAGCUGAAAAGGAGUUGUUCGCUUUGAUGCGCAGUCAACACACGGAUGGCUGGAGUUGUAACGCGCGCUUUGUCAGUGAGCGAGGAAACUAUCCGCGGGCUGGAAAAGGCAGCAGUGCCGAGGAACUCUGUGGUUAAUCGCUCUUGUUGUUCAGCGUGAAACCUGGGCUUGAGUGUUUUGUCGCCUGUUGUCGAGGAUGACUUGAAUGUAUUUUUCCUUGUCAUUGAAGAGUAUUUAUUUCAUUCCCUCCUCCCUGCGUUGUAGGAGUAAGAGCCCCAAGGUUCUCCCGGUGCGGUGCAACGCGACGCUGCGAAAGGAUGCGAUAAGAAACCCUGAUGCCCCGAGCACGUUGCCGUACGGGCCGCGUGUUUCUCCCGGAGUUUCGCCUGGGACAAGGAAAGGUGACCGAAAGUAAAAAUCAUGCCCUGCUUCGGGGCGCAGUCUGUCGGGAGUACUUGAGGACGAGCGGCGUUUCCUGGGGGCAGACAGCGAGGGAUCCCGUGGGACGACGGCUGCACCGACUGACGGCAGACGGAAUUCUGGCGUUCAUCAGAUCACGCCAGCGCACGUGGUGCGGAGUAAGAGCUCCAAGGUUCUCCCGGUGCGGUGCAACGCGACGCUGCGAAAGGAUGCGAUAAGAAACCCUGAUGCCCCGAGCACGUUGCCGUACGGGCCGCGUGUUUCUCCCGGAGUUUCGCCCGGGACACGGAAAGGUGACCGAAAGUAAAAAUCAUGCCCUGCUUCGGGGCGCAGUCUGUCGGGAGUACUUGAGGACGAGCGGCGUUUCCUGGGGGCAGACAGCGAGGGAUCCCGCGGGACGACGGCUGCACCGACUGACGGCAGACGGAAUUCUGGCGUUCAUCAGAUCACGCCAGCGCACGUGGUGCGGAGUAAGAGCCCCAAGGUUCUCCCGGUGCGGUGCAACGCGACGCUGCGAAAGGAUGCGAUAAGAAACCCUGAUGCCCCGAGCACGUUGCCGUACGGGCCGCGUGUUUCUCCCGGAGUUUCGCCUGGGACAAGGAAAGGUGACCGAAAGUAAAAAUCAUGCCCUGCUUCGGGGCGCAGUCUGUCGGGAGUACUUGAGGACGAGCGGCGUUUCCUGGGGGCAGACAGCGAGGGAUCCCGUGGGACGACGGCUGCACCGACUGACGGCAGACGGAAUUCUGGCGUUCAUCAGAUCACGCCAGCGCACGUGGUGCGAGGGGGAAAAGAAAAGAAAAAAGGGACGCCAAACCAAGAAGAGAACGUUGCCUGAAUCUUAUUUUUUCACCAAGGCUAUCUCCACCUGUUCUGUCUUUGAUUUUCCUUCUCACGCAAACGGCGGUGAAAAACAAUACGGAGAAAAAGGCUCCAGUGCUUGCCAACAGCGGCUUGGUUGUUCGCGUGAUGUAUCUCUCGUCCCAUCUCGAGGAAGAAAUCUGUCAGCGGUGUUACAAAUGAAGUAGCAUCCUGCUUUGGGCAGAAACUGUGCUGCGUUUGAAAGCCUUGGGUAGGGCAGGCGGAGGUUGCCUUCUUGGGUCAGUGAUGAGUGUUGGCAUGUAUUACCUGAUGUAAAGCUGAUGUCUGUCACCACUUUAGCUCUAGAAUUAUUCUGAGACCCAGGCAACUCCAGUUUCUUUCCACUGUAUUUCUGAGCAUUUCCCCCAGUAUUUCUGAGGCUCUGCGGCUCUCCAGGGCAGUUCCCAACUACACGGCUGUCUGCAGGUUACGCUGGUUGAGGUUUUUUGGAUGUAUAUCUGACUGCACAGCAGCUGAAAAGGAGUUGUUCGCUUUGAUGCGCAGUCAACACACGGAUGGCUGGAGUUGUAACGCGCGCUUUGUCAGUGAGCGAGGAAACUAUCCGCGGGCUGGAAAAGGCAGCAGUGCCGAGGAACUCUGUGGUUAAUCGCUCUUGUUGUUCAGCGUGAAACCUGGGCUUGAGUGUUUUGUCGCCUGUUGUCGAGGAUGACUUGAAUGUAUUUUUCCUUGUCAUUGAAGAGUAUUUAUUUCAUUCCCUCCUCCCUGCGUUGUAGGAGUAAGAGCUCCAAGGUUCUCCCGGGUCGAUCACCACUGCCACUAGCAGCAUGGGUUUUAUUGGAUUUUACAUGGGUUUCAUAUGGGUUACCAGAACUUGAUUCUCAUGCAAACCAUGGUGAAAAACAAUACAAUAUGGGCUCUUAUAUGCUUACUUGCUUCUUUUAUAUCUGUGUGCUUUCACCAUACCUGUAAUGUGUUUGCCAAACCACCGAGGAGUAGGAUUUGUUGUUAUGCUGGUGUAGUUUUGACCUUCUAGGCUGCGAUAAGUCGUUGAGGCUCCUACGUGUGGUUAUAAUACGAUAAUUCUGCUUGGUUGUCUGCAUUAUAGGACCCUUGUAAGUGGAAAUUGUGGAUCUUAUCAGAUAAACAGGAUGUACUCUGCACCAGACCAAAUCAGUAAUUGUGGAUAGGAUUUUGUAGAGUGACUCAUUAACUCCACUGCCAGGGUGCUCGUGUCAUGACACUUUAAAUAGCCUCUUGCAGUUGUAUGAUGAUAGAAGCUUCAGGGGAAAGUUAAUGCAGUGAAGGAGUGCUUGGAUACCUGGUAACUGCUGCUGUCUCUUUUUGGGUUUUUUUCCUUCCUUGUAUUUUCUUCUUUCAGUUUUAUAGCACAGUAGGUUGCUACUCCCCUCUUAAGAUUUUACAGCAAAGCUCUAUAUUCGGAGACUGCUGAAGAGGAUUAUACUGUUCCUGAACAGCAAACGGGGCAUUUAUGGAAGAGGCAUUUGGAGGUUAUCAAAUUUACCUUUUCAGUCUUUCUCAUCUUUGCUCCUUCUGUUUGAUGCCAUUAUGUGUUAUUGGGAAUACAUGAGUGGUUCCUGCUGAAUGCAGAGUUGAAAAUUGCCUUAGGUCUUAGCAGGAAACAAUCUACAAACACCUCUGAGUAAAUCAUAGUGCCGUAAAUGCAUGCCACAGAAAUUGCUCUGAUGCGUGCUUGCAGGCAAGACAAAAGUUUAUUCAGUUGCAGCAUCGUCUUCAGCCAUGGAGUUUGCAGUUCUCUUGCUAAGAAACAAAAGCUCCAUCCUGUACAAACAAAAGCUGGAUAGCUUUUGGAGGUUAACAAACACGUUCUUCUCCCAGGUGGUUCCAUUUCAUACCUCAUUUCGAAUUGUUGGACUAUCUUUAUUAGGAGAAGAACAAAUGAAGGCCGUCAAUCCUGUCUUGUAUGCCAGAAGAUGUCCUUCAAGGAUAAAUGUACAGCCUGAGCUCUCAGAAGAGGUUGAUAUGCUCUGUUGCUCUGGUUUUACUGCUAGAAAGUCAUCUCCGAAACCAUUAGUGUAUUCUUCUUUGAAGUAUGUUUACAUUACUGUAGUAAAGCAGUAGCUUUACCACAGGCUUUGUGUAGCUGUAGAUACACUUGCUAAAAGAAAAUCUGGGGGGAAAAAGAUCAGCCAUUCUGUUAUCUUCUAAGAACAUGCUCAAGCCAGA
This is a long non-coding RNA of Grus americana (Whooping crane), 3702 nucleotides long. RefSeq lists it as uncharacterized. The record is from RefSeq and is a predicted model, not a curated record. The transcript is spliced from 7 exons. NCBI's taxonomy places the organism in Eukaryota, Metazoa, Chordata, Aves, Gruiformes, Gruidae.